GUGCUCACCUCUGCAGCACAUAUACUAAAAAUGGAAUUGCACAGAGAAGACUAGCAUGGCGCCUGUGCAAAGAUGACACACAAGUUGGUGAAGCCUUUCAUAUUUUA
This is a small nuclear RNA of Cricetulus griseus (Chinese hamster), 107 nucleotides long. The record is from Ensembl. NCBI's taxonomy places the organism in Eukaryota, Metazoa, Chordata, Mammalia, Rodentia, Cricetidae.